RNAcentral lists this ribosomal RNA (253 nucleotides) under uncultured bacterium. RNAcentral's name for it is "partial 16S ribosomal RNA". It matches the Rfam family "Bacterial small subunit ribosomal RNA", at positions 524 to 776 of the family's 1533-position model. The record is from RNAcentral.
UACGUAGGGUGCGAGCGUUGUCCGGAAUUAUUGGGCGUAAAGAGCUUGUAGGCGGUUUGUCGCGUCUGCUGUGAAAAUCCGGGGCUCAACCCCGGACUUGCAGUGGGUACGGGCAGACUAGAGUGUGGUAGGGGGGACUGGAAUUCCUGGUGUAGCGGUGAAAUGCGCAGAUAUCAGGAGGAACACCGAUGGCGAAGGCAGGUCUCUGGGCCGAUACUGACGCUGAGGAGCGAAAGCGUGGGGAGCGAACAGG